This 335-nucleotide long non-coding RNA is filed under the name Elaeis guineensis (African oil palm). RNAcentral's name for it is "long non-coding RNA (EGUI_LNC006121)". The record is from RNAcentral. Lineage: Eukaryota; Viridiplantae; Streptophyta; Magnoliopsida; Arecales; Arecaceae.
GGCCUGGGUGCAUGGUUGGGCCCAUGGCGGGUUGGGCCAAUAUUGGUUCUCGAUUCGGUUCAUCGGAGACGCGUCCCAUCACGAAGGACUACGAAUUAAUUGAAAAGUUCCGGUCGAUAUGAUGAGACGCUAGGACGUGAGCAGGAGCUACCCAUCGGUGGUGGGCUCCGCCCUGGACCGAUUCGUACCAGACUACUAGAGUCUUGUUUGCCGUCUUCUCGAACCAGAUGGGAGCUAAAAAGAGGCGUUUCGAGGGAGGGGGAGAUCCAGCAGUCAAGCUUUAUAAUUGCGGUCAUUUUGAGAGUAAGAAGGGUUCACUAACAGUGGUGGCAGGA